GUGGGGAAUAUUGGACAAUGGGGGGAACCCUGAUCCAGCCAUGCCGCGUGUGUGAAGAAGGUCUUCGGAUUGUAAAGCACUUUAAGUUGGGAGGAAGGGCAGUAAGUUAAUACCUUGCUGUUUUGACGUUACCGACAGAAUAAGCACCGGCUAACUUCGUGCCAGCAGCCGCGGUAAUACGAAGGGUGCAAGCGUUAAUCGGAAUUACUGGGCGUAAAGCGCGCGUAGGUGGUUUUGUAAGUUGGAGGUGAAAUCCCCGGGCUCAACCUGGGAACUGCCUCCAAAACUGCAUGACUAGAGUACGGUAGAGGGUAGUGGAAUUUCCUGUGUAGCGGUGAAAUGCGUAGAUAUAGGAAGGAACACCAGUGGCGAAGGCGACUACCUGGACUGAUACUGACACUGAGGUGCGAAAGCGUGGGGAGCAAACAGGAUUAGAUACCCUUGUAGUCC
Molecule: ribosomal RNA, 450 nt
Filed under: uncultured bacterium
Lineage: Bacteria
Description: partial 16S ribosomal RNA
Rfam family: Bacterial small subunit ribosomal RNA
Source: RNAcentral